This 64-nucleotide transfer RNA is filed under the name Plutella xylostella (diamondback moth). RNAcentral describes it as "tRNA-Ser". The record is from RNAcentral. Lineage: Eukaryota; Metazoa; Arthropoda; Insecta; Lepidoptera; Plutellidae.
GGGUGGUGUAGUGGUUAAUCACCCUGACUGCCGAAGGUCCCGGGUUCGAUUCCCGGCUGAUACC